RNAcentral lists this ribosomal RNA (254 nucleotides) under uncultured bacterium. RNAcentral's name for it is "partial 16S ribosomal RNA". It matches the Rfam family "Bacterial small subunit ribosomal RNA", at positions 524 to 776 of the family's 1533-position model. The record is from RNAcentral.
GACAGAGGUGCCAAGCGUUAGGCGGAAUCACUGGGCUUAAAGCGCGUGUAGGCGGCCCGGAAAGUCGGAUGUGAAAGCCCUGGGCUUAACCUAGGAAGUGCAUUCGAAACUCCCGUGGCUUGAGUUCUGGAGAGGGAAGCGGAAUUCUCGGUGUAGAGGUGAAAUUCGUAGAUAUCGAGAGGAACACCGGUGGCGAAGGCGGCUUCCUGGACAGUGACUGACGCUGAGACGCGAAAGCGUGGGGAGCAAACAGG